GCCUGAUGCGCCAUGCCGCGUGUAUGAAGAAGGCCUUCGGGUUGUAAAGUACUUUCAGCAGUGAGGAAGGGGGUGUCGUUAAUAGCGGCAUCUCUUGACGUUAGCUGCAGAAGAAGCACCGGCUAACUCCGUGCCAGCAGCCGCGGUAAUACGGAGGGUGCGAGCGUUAAUCGGAAUUACUGGGCGUAAAGCGCAUGCAGGUGGUUUGUUAAGUCAGAUGUGAAAGCCCGGGGCUCAACCUCGGAACUGCAUUUGAAACUGGCAAACUAGAGUACUGUAGAGGGGGGUAGAAUUUCAGGUGUAGCGGUGAAAUGCGUAGAGAUCUGAAGGAAUACCAGUGGCGAAGGCGGCCCCCUGGACAGAUACUGACACUCAGAUGCGAAAGCGUGGGGAGCAAACAGGAUUAGAUACCCUGGUAGUCCACGCCGUAAACGAUGUCUACUUGGAGGUUGUGGCCUUGAGCCGUGGCUUUCGGAGCUAACGCGUUAAGUAGACCGCCUGGGGAGUACGGUCGCAAGAUUAAAACUCAAAUGAAUUGACGGGGGCCCGCACAAGCGGUGGAGCAUGUGGUUUAAUUCGAUGCAACGCGAAGAACCUUACCUACUCUUGACAUCCAGAGAACUUACCAGAGAUGCAUUGGUGCCUUCGGGAACUCUGAGACAGGUGCUGCAUGGCUGUCGUCAGCUCGUGUUGUGAAAUGUUGGGUUAAGUCCCGCAACGAGCGCAACCCUUAUCCUUGUUUGCCAGCGAGUAAUGUCGGGAACUCCAGGGAGACUGCCGGUGAUAAACCGGAGGAAGGUGGGGACGACGUCAAGUCAUCAUGGCCCUUACGAGUAGGGCUACACACGUGCUACAAUGGCGCAUACAGAGGGCGGCCAACUCGCGAGAGUGAGCGAAUCCCAAAAAGUGCGUCGUAGUCCGGAUUGGAGUCUGCAACUCGACUCCAUGAAGUCGGAAUCGCUAGUAAUCGUAGAUCAGAAUGCUACGGUGAAUACGUUCCCGGGCCUUGUACACACCGCCCGUCACACCAUGGGAGUGGGCUGCAAAAGAAGUGGGUAGUUUAACCUUCGGGAGGACGCUCACCACUUGUGGUUCAUGACUGGGGUGAUCGUU
RNAcentral lists this ribosomal RNA (1113 nucleotides) under Vibrio sp. 8121M. RNAcentral describes it as "bacterial SSU rRNA". It matches the Rfam family "Bacterial small subunit ribosomal RNA", at positions 381 to 1490 of the family's 1533-position model. Lineage: Bacteria; Pseudomonadati; Pseudomonadota; Gammaproteobacteria; Vibrionales; Vibrionaceae. The record is from RNAcentral.